Molecule: ribosomal RNA, 253 nt
Filed under: uncultured bacterium
Lineage: Bacteria
Description: partial 16S ribosomal RNA
Rfam family: Bacterial small subunit ribosomal RNA
Source: RNAcentral
GACGUAGGGGGCGAGCGUUGUCCGGAAUUACUGGGCGUAAAGCGCGUGCAGGCGGUCCGCUAAGUCUCGUGUGAAAUCCUCCGGCCCAACCGGAGAACGCCGCGGGAUACUGGCGGGCUUGAGGGCGGUAGAGGGUGAUGGAAUUCCCGGUGUAGCGGUGAAAUGCGUAGAUAUCGGGAGGAACGCCAGUGGCGAAGGCGGUCACCUGGGCCGUCCCUGACGCUGAGACGCGAAAGCUGGGGGAGCGAACGGG